This 829-nucleotide long non-coding RNA is filed under the name Danio rerio (zebrafish). RNAcentral's name for it is "lncRNA si:rp71-46j2.6 (ENSDARG00000053570.6)". Lineage: Eukaryota; Metazoa; Chordata; Actinopteri; Cypriniformes; Danionidae. The record is from RNAcentral.
ACCAGCUCGUGCGCGCUCAAUCCGGUAAAUCUGGAUGUGGAAGUCUCUUCGACUGUCUGAAUGAGUUCUGAACCAUAAGACGUCAAGAUCUACAUUUAUUUUUUGAUCUGUAAAGGGACGUGUUUACCUCGUUCGACUGAGUGAGCGAGAAAUGAAUUAUUUAAGGAAAAAUGUCUCAGGCAAUUUUUCCCUUCCUUCCGACUCACUGAUGCCGAUGUCUUCGAAGGAAGUGAACUUCAGCUGUACUUUCGAUGAGGAGUUCAAGUAUAUUCUUCUGCCCGUUUCAUAUUCCCUGGUGUGUUUCUUCGGACUAAUCCUUAACUCUGUGGCUCUGUGGAUGUUCAUCACUAAGAUGAGGCCUUGGAAACCCAGUACGGUGUACAUGUUUCAUCUGGCCCUGUCAGACACGCUGUAUGUGCUCUCCUUGCCUAUGCUCAUAUACUACUAUGCAAACCGCAGCCACUGGCCUUUUGGCGUUGUCCUCUGUAAGAUCGUACGGUUUCUUUUUUAUGCCAACUUAUACUGCAGCAUCCUUUUUCUCACUUGCAUCAGUGUGCAUCGCUACCUUGGCAUCUGUCACCCUAUUCGUUCUCUGACUUUAAUAAAGCCACGCCAUGCACACAUGGUCUGUGGUUUUGUCUGGACAGCGGUGAUAGCCUGCCUGGUGCCCACGCUCAUUUUAGUCAAUACUUCUAGAAAUGGAAAUAGCACUUUGUGUCACGACACAAGUCGCCCUGAAGAAUUUCACAACUUCGUAACCUACAACUCUGUGGUAAUGGUGUUGCUUUUUAUUCUGCCAUUUCUAGUCAUCGUGGUUUGCUACUGUUUA